This is a long non-coding RNA of Acromyrmex echinatior (Panamanian leafcutter ant), 473 nucleotides long. Lineage: Eukaryota; Metazoa; Arthropoda; Insecta; Hymenoptera; Formicidae. The record is from RefSeq and is a predicted model, not a curated record.
UUCCAUGGAAUAUGGUUCAAACGCGCACAUUGAAGUCUUCCUGUAAUUUGCGAUGUAUCAGUUAUUUUUUAAUAAUGCGGCCACUACGACAUGGAUUUCUAAUAAAGGAAUUAGAUCUUAAUGAUCAUACUGUUGUCAAUUGGUAUAUUUUUGUCAAGAAUUAUUUCAACAAUAAGUCUUGAAUUCAAAAACAAAUUGGUGGAGCGGAUAAAAUACUAGAUGGAGCUGAAGGAAGUGAAAGAAAGUACAAUACUGGACGAACAAUUAGAGGAUAAUAAGUUUUCGGUGGAAUUAAACGCGGACAAAGAAGGACAGAUUAGUGUUUAGGGUAAGGAAGAGAUGAAACAUAUAGAAGUGGAGGUGGGAAUAGAGGAAAACGAGUGGAGUUACGAACGGCACUAUGAGGGCAAAGUUAUCCAAUUAUUGUCUAACCUGAGAGCAACUUUACUUGGCAAAGAACUCGUAGGGACAGG